UACGUAGGGUGCAAGCGUUGUCCAGAAUUAUUGGGCGUAAAGAGCUCGUAGGCGGUCUGUCGCGUCUGCUGUGAAAACUCAGGGCUUAACCCUGAGCUUGCAGUGGGUACGGGCAGACUAGAGUGCGGUAGGGGAGACUGGAAUUCCUGGUGUAGCGGUGAAAUGCGCAGAUAUCAGGAGGAACACCGGUGGCGAAGGCGGGUCUCUGGGCCGUAACUGACGCUGAGGAGCGAAAGCAUGGGGAGCGAACAGG
RNAcentral lists this ribosomal RNA (253 nucleotides) under uncultured bacterium. RNAcentral's name for it is "partial 16S ribosomal RNA". It matches the Rfam family "Bacterial small subunit ribosomal RNA", at positions 524 to 776 of the family's 1533-position model. The record is from RNAcentral.